RNAcentral lists this ribosomal RNA (301 nucleotides) under uncultured bacterium. RNAcentral describes it as "partial 16S ribosomal RNA". It matches the Rfam family "Bacterial small subunit ribosomal RNA", at positions 509 to 807 of the family's 1533-position model. The record is from RNAcentral.
CAGCCGCCGCGGUAAUACGUAGGGUGCGAGCGUUAAUCGGAAUUACUGGGCGUAAAGCGCACGCAGGCGGUUUGUUAAGUCAGAUGUGAAAUCCCCGGGCUCAACCUGGGAACUGCAUCUGAUACUGGCAAGCUUGAGUCUCGUAGAGGGGGGUAGAAUUCCAGGUGUAGCGGUGAAAUGCGUAGAGAUCUGGAGGAAUACCGGUGGCGAAGGCGGCCCCCUGGACGAAGACUGACGCUCAGGUGCGAAAGCGUGGGGAGCAAACAGGAUUAGAUACCCCAGUAGUCCCUGUCUCUUAUAC